RNAcentral lists this ribosomal RNA (147 nucleotides) under Ceratocystis papillata. RNAcentral's name for it is "5.8S ribosomal RNA". It matches the Rfam family "5.8S ribosomal RNA". From Rfam's summary of the family: 5.8S ribosomal RNA (5.8S rRNA) is a component of the large subunit of the eukaryotic ribosome. It is transcribed by RNA polymerase I as part of the 45S precursor that also contains 18S and 28S rRNA. Lineage: Eukaryota; Fungi; Ascomycota; Sordariomycetes; Microascales; Ceratocystidaceae. The record is from RNAcentral.
GUUAAAACUUUCAACAACGGAUCUCUUGGCUCUAGCAUCGAUGAAGAACGCAGCGAAAUGCGAUAAGUAAUGUGAAUUGCAGAAUUCAGUGAAUCAUCGAAUCUUUGAACGCACAUUGCGCCUGGCAGUAUUCUGCCAGGCAUGCCU